RNAcentral lists this ribosomal RNA (466 nucleotides) under Vreelandella stevensii. RNAcentral's name for it is "partial 16S ribosomal RNA". It matches the Rfam family "Bacterial small subunit ribosomal RNA", at positions 338 to 795 of the family's 1533-position model. The record is from RNAcentral. Lineage: Bacteria; Pseudomonadati; Pseudomonadota; Gammaproteobacteria; Oceanospirillales; Halomonadaceae.
CCUACGGGUGGCAGCAGUGGGGAAUAUUGGACAAUGGGCGAAAGCCUGAUCCAGCCAUGCCGCGUGUGUGAAGAAGGCCUUCGGGUUGUAAAGCACUUUCAGUGGGGAAGAAAGCCUUGGGGCUAAUACCCUCGAGGAAGGACAUCACCCACAGAAGAAGCACCGGCUAACUCCGUGCCAGCAGCCGCGGUAAUACAGGAGGGUGCGAGCGUUAAUCGGAAUUACUGGGCGUAAAGCGCGCGUAGGCGGUCUGAUAAGCCGGUUGUGAAAGCCCCGGGCUCAACCUGGGAACGGCAUCCGGAACUGUCAGGCUAGAGUGCAGGAGAGGAAGGUAGAAUUCCCGGUGUAGCGGUGAAAUGCGUAGAGAUCGGGAGGAAUACCAGUGGCGAAGGCGGCCUUCUGGACUGACACUGACGCUGAGGUGCGAAAGCGUGGGUAGCAAACAGGAUUAGAUACCCUGGUAGUC